Molecule: ribosomal RNA, 506 nt
Filed under: uncultured bacterium
Lineage: Bacteria
Description: partial 16S ribosomal RNA
Rfam family: Bacterial small subunit ribosomal RNA
Source: RNAcentral
AUUGAACGCUGGCGGCAGGCCUAACACAUGCAAGUCGAGCGGCAGCGGAAAGUAGCUUGCUACUUUGCCGGCGCGCGGCGGACGGGUGAGUAAUGUCUGGGAAACUGCCUGAGGGAGGGGGAUAACUACUGGAAACGGUAGCUAAUACCGCCUAACGUCGCAAGACCAAAGAGGGGGACCUUCGGGCCUCCUUCCAUCUGAUGCGCCCAGAUGGGAUUAGCUAGUCGGUGGGGUAACGGCUCACCUAGGCGCCGAUCCCUAGCUGGUCUGAAAGGAGGACCAGCCACACUGGAACGGAGACACGGUCCAGACUCCUACGGGAGGCAGCAGUGGGGAAUAUUGCACAAUGGGCGCAAGCCUGAUGCAGCCAUGCCGCGUGUAUGAAGAAGGCCUUCGGGUUGUAAAGUACUUUCAGCGGGGAGGAAGGUGUUGAGAUUAAUAACCUCAGCAAUUGACGUUACCCGCAGAAGAAGCACCGGCUAACACCGUGCCAGCAGCCGCCGUAA